This 421-nucleotide ribosomal RNA is filed under the name uncultured Proteiniphilum sp. Its description in RNAcentral is "bacterial SSU rRNA". It matches the Rfam family "Bacterial small subunit ribosomal RNA", at positions 356 to 774 of the family's 1533-position model. The record is from RNAcentral. Lineage: Bacteria; Pseudomonadati; Bacteroidota; Bacteroidia; Bacteroidales; Dysgonomonadaceae.
GAGGAAUAUUGGUCAAUGGCCGCAAGUCUGAACCAGCCACGUCGCGUGAAGGAAGACGGUCCUACUGGUUGUAAACUUCUUUUAUAAGGGAAUCAAGUGCCCCACGUGUGGGGUUUUGCAUGUACCGUAUGCAUAAGGCUCGGCUAACUCCGUGCCAGCAGCCGCGGUAAUACGGAGGAUCCGAGCGUUACCCGGAUUUAUUGGGUUUAAAGGGUGCUCAGGCGGGGGGUUAAGUCGGCGGUGAAAUUUUGCAGCUCAACUGUAAAACUGCCUUCGAAACUGGUUCCCUUGAGUGCGGAUGAGGUAGGCGGAAUUUGUGGUGUAGCGGUGAAAUGCAUAGAUAUCACGAGGAACUCCGAUUGCGCAGGCUGCUUACCAAGCCGUAACUGACGCUCAAGCACGAAGGCGUGGGGAUCAAACA